Molecule: ribosomal RNA, 496 nt
Filed under: uncultured bacterium
Lineage: Bacteria
Description: partial 16S ribosomal RNA
Rfam family: Bacterial small subunit ribosomal RNA
Source: RNAcentral
AUGAACGCUGGCGGCGUGCCUAAUACAUGCAAGUCGAGCGAACAGACGAGGAGCUUGCUCCUCUGACGUUAGCGGCGGACGGGUGAGUAACACGUGGAUAACCUACCUAUAAGACUGGGAUAACUUCGGGAAACCGGAGCUAAUACCGGAUAAUAUAUUGAACCGCAUGGUUCAAUAGUGAAAGACGGUUUUGCUGUCACUUAUAGAUGGAUCCGCGCCGCAUUAGCUAGUUGGUAAGGUAACGGCUUACCAAGGCAACGAUGCGUAGCCGACCUGAGAGGGUGAUCGGCCACACUGGAACUGAGACUCGGUCCAGACUCCUACGGGAGGCAGCAGUAGGGAAUCUUCCGCAAUGGGCGAAAGCUUGACGGAGCAACGCCGCGUGAGUGAUGAAGGUCUUCGGAUCGUAAAACUCUGUUAUUAGGGAAGAACAAAUGUGUAAGUAACUAUGCACGUCUUGACGGUACCUAAUCAGAAAGCCACGGCUAACUACGUG